AUGGGCACAUCGUUUUCCACUUUAAUAAUGACGAAAAAAAGAAAAAGUAACUUUAAAAUAGACCCUUUAGGCACUGAGCAGCAGUCACAGAGGGAGGAGCUGGUAGCUGCGUUGUCCCACGAAGUCCAUGAGCACACAGGCAAAGCUACUGAAACCAGCCACUCAGAACCCUGGAACUUAAACAAAGCAGUAGAUCAAACCAAAGCCAGCUACCACGGAGAAACUAUGGAACCUAGCUUUCUGAGAGAAGCGUCAGCUAAGAAAACACCCCUAAAAGAAAUGCUUACUGCAAGCUUGGCUCAUUUAACCAAGAGCUUCAUAACGUACUGCUCUAAGGAUUAAGAAGAUGUCUACUAACCCUGUGAUUAAAAUGGAACCACAAAACAAGCCCUCACAUCUCUAAGGUACACUGAAGUUCUCCGAGUACCUCGUAUUCAUUAGCACCUUCAGGAUGACAGAACAACUCUGUAAGACAGCAGCAGCACCUGUGCAGUCAGGAAGCUUCCCUCAUAUCGUAGACACUGUGGCUUUGGGCCCAGGAAAUUCUUACAGAGAAUAAAACCCAGCCCAAGGAAGGGAUCACCUUGUGUGUCCUACAUGUAUUAUAAGGGAAGGAGGAGCCAGACAGACUAACUGAAGCAUUCUGAAGAAAUUUUAGGAAAUAGUUGAAAAGACCUAGAAAAAACAAAAGCAAGAGAUUGCUUUAUGAAAGAAAAUUGCUUUAUGUAGAUUAGGUGCUGCAUUAGCACAUGCUACAUACACUAAUUGGGAGAAAAGUGGUUGCGUUUAUUUAGCAUUUCUUUUCUAACGAAGUUCAAAAGCACUGUUCAACGUUUCUCAUUAAUUUUACAAUAUCUGUCAUAUGCUUACAGGAGGAGGUUACUAUUCCUUUAUUUUUGCACAUGGAUUUUAAAAAUGGGGUCUUAAAAGAAAAGAUCAGAUUUUCCAAGGAAGCUCAUGGUGUGAAUUUGAAUUUUGCUGUGGGUCCCAGCAUAGUUUAAGGAAGUCACAUACCACUCCCCCCAGAUAGAUCUGAUAUGUAGGUUAACUAUCAUUUUCAUAGACUGAAUAAAGGCUCUGUGCAGAGUAGAAAAGCCACCUGGCAAAAGCAGGGGGUGUGGCAGGCACUUUAUAAAAACCAAACAAAGCACAUAUAAACCUAUCAUUCAAUGGUUUACUCGCUGUGAUGAUAGGAGGAUGACUUGCUCUUUUUUUUUUUUUUUUUUUUCAUCUUGAUCCUCCAUGUCCUCUGUUUACUUUUUCUAGUAGGUUGUGAAGAGUUAGUCAUUACACUUGAAAAGAAUCCAGUCAAGGUCAGGGAUUUGGCUCCGUGGUUCUGCCGCCUGCCUCACAAGCACAGGACCUGAGUUUGAUCCCCGGUACCAAAAAAAAAAAAGAAGAAUCCAGUCAAUUAUUAAAAGUUAAACUCAUUUUGAUAGGACAGAUGUACAAAAUGGCAACUCCGAGUGGAAUGGCAGCCUUCCUGUCUCAGAUUCAAGGUUGUGAGCUCUGCAGUGGUACUUCAGAAGGGAUAUCUCCAAGGGUCUGAAAAUGACCUUGGCUUUCUGAAACCACUCAGGUUCUUACAUUGUUGCAUUAUCCAAAGAAGGAAUUCAUUGUCCAUUUUCCCAGCCCUGGCUGAAAUUUGUAACUUUAGGCAUAAAGGAUAGGCAGGGGUCCAGUGUUGACCUGUGAUUAAAGUUACAGAAAUCCUACAGUUUAGGAUUACUCCAUCUAAGGCUGAAAGCCAGCUGGAACCCUAGGACAAACAGUAACUUGACAUGAAGACAGAAUUCGUGAUUUUAACACUGAACAGUUGAUGUGAAUACGAGUUGAUUUACCGCUGUGUCAGCAGCAUUACCACCACAGCCACCACCACCAUCAUACUUGUUUGUUUGUUUCUUUGUUUUUGGUAACGGGGAUUGAACUCAGGUCCUUGCACUUGCGAGGCGUUGCCAGAACCACUGAGCUAAAUCCCCAGGCAAGUCCUUGUUAUUUUUACUCAAUGAAUCCCACAUCUUUAAAUAUCUGAAAAUGAAGGCAGAGGAUCAGAUUUAAGACAAAGGGGCUAUGUGUAGUCUCAUAUGACAAUCAAAGAGAACCUCAUGCUACUUUACUUUUAUACUUAUCCACCCACUGUGGCUGGGGAUUUAGCUCAGUGGUUCAGGCACCUGCCUCACAAACUCAAGGACCUGAGUUCCAUCCCUGGUACCAAAACAAAACAAAAAACUACUCUAUACUCAUCCACCUACAAUACGGGAGUCAUGAACUGGACUUUCUGGAGAUUUGAGUAAAAAUAUACACUUCCUUGUGGUGUUUCUGUUCUCUUGAUCUUUCUCCAGUUAACAGCUUGCCGAGGUCCCUUAUCUCCUUCCAGUAUGUGCCCAGCUUCUUCUCCCCCAGGAAGCUACCUGUCCCCAUCUUGAAUGUAGCCACUCUUGGUUCACCCUGCCUCCCUGGCCUAUCCCUGAUCCAUUUUAGACUCCUAUUUUCAUACAGCCGUUAUCAGAUUCUAACACAUUAUGUAAUGUACUUAUUUGUUCUGACCAUUUUUCACCUCCUCCUGCUAAAACACAAGCUCUAUGAGGACAGGGCAUUUUGUUUAGUUAACAUUUGUAUCCCAGGUCCCAAGAGUGGGCCUCACAUUCAAAGCAAAUUUGUGCUGAAUGAUGAGCAAACUCAGGCUGUCUGCUCCUGCCUCUGUUACCAACAAUGGACACACUUCUUAUGUGGAUUGGUGCAGCUCACUGUUGCUAUCACUGUUGAUUUUUGCAUCCUCAGUGCAAAUGUCAACCUUGGGAACAAAACAACAGCACUGUAGUCUAAUUAGGAAAACAGUAAUGACCUUACUGGCCCCUGAAAGAUUCUCAGAGAUCUCUGUGUCCACACUUUCACUGCUGAGCUAAAAUAACAGAUGCAGGGGUAAAGGAAGGCUCUUCCAAAGAAACCAGUUCUCAAAAGUCUCUUUGCUUUCUAAGACAAACAGAGAGGACUGUAUUUUUUGUUUUGUUGGUACCAGGAUCAAACUCAGGAUCUUGAACUUGUGAGUCAGGCAGGAGCACCACUGAGCUAAAUCCCUGGUCCCCCAGAGAGGACUGUAAAUAUGCUAUUUAUUUAAGAAGGCAAUCCCAUUUUACCAUUCCCUCUCUUCCUGGAUGCCAACAUAAUGCCCUCUCGUUCUGAUUCCUUUGAACUUUCCCCUGGUUCUUGCUUUAAUCACCUUCUACUUAAAUACAAGCACAGCAAAAAGCUCCAUGUCACCACUCUGUCUUGUGUUAGAAUCAUCCAGGUGGACUUUGCUGGGCUGGACAGAGUAGACGUGGUUACAGUACACACCUCUGAAUAGUGCACGUUAUGGCUCCUUCUUCCCCAACUAUGAUUCAGGGUUUCAAAAAAAAGGCCCAAAGCAACAAACGAUGAACUUCAGGGUCAUCAAGCCCAGGCAGACCCCUGUGCUCCCAGGUCAUAAGUCAAGGCUCCUGCUGCUGGUUCUGGAGGAAAGUCUGAACCGUGGGUUAACAGUUAGGAACUCUAGGGACCAGGUGGUGACUAUUGAGGAGUCAGGUUUACCUGAGCUGCAGCACUGUGGCUGUGUUAGCAGGCAGCAGAGGAGCAGGGCACAGCGGGCCUGCAGGGAGUGUGAAGCCAAGGUGCAGCUCUGGUAGGCCUUCUCCCUUCAAGGCAUCUGCAAGCCCCCAAUCUCUUCUGGGCCCACAGGUCGUUCUGCUUACAGAACAGCUUGUAAAACAAUCUCCUUCAUCCCUGCUCACUUCUCUCUGCUCCUGGUCCUCUCACGUUUUGGCCGUAUAACUAGCUGCCCCCAGAGCAACCUGGAGGAAGCAACUGUCUCCCUGAAACUGCUCCCUAGGUUGUCGCACAGCAUCAUCACCCACAUGCUCGCUUAAGCUACACACCUGGAGAAGUCACCCUGACCACCUCCCAUGAGCCCUUAUCCUUAACUCUGAAGUCCAAAAUGUACUUUGCAAGGUGGCACCACACUUACUUGUCACUUGACUGAAAUGGCAGGAGGCGGUCCGUGGUGCCCAUCCCACUUGGUGACAAUGUUCUUACAUUUCAGGGAAAAAUACUAGUGCUUGAUCAUGCGAUGCUACUGCCCCAUAUGCCACAGGGAAAUGUUAAAAUUCAUAUGUGUACUACACUAGUAAAGUCCCCCCAAUUCGAAAUUUCUCUGGGUCCCUGUGUUUUGGAUUAGGGGGUCUGGCCCCAUAAUGGUGACUAAAUCCCUAAGGUUUUUCUCCGAAUGUUGUCUUUGACACUUCUGUCUUUAUUUCUUAACGCCAACAUUUCUGGCAGGUUCAAUCCCUCCUAAAUUCUCUCUCCUAUUGUCCUGUAAGCCUUAUGUGUGAUUUUUUUUUUCCUUUGCCCUAAUCAAAUGUUUCCACACUUAAUAUCCUUUCUGUAGUUUAAACUUAAUCACUGCUCCAUUCUAAAACACCAACUCUGGGAGUAUUUCCCAACUUUCAGCCAUUAAAGUACCAUCUUAAUCAAUUUGCUAGAUCCAUGUGCCGAUGUUCCAAUUUUUUUUCCUCUUAGGUCGACACAUUUUUUUGUUUAUUUAUGUGGGAAUCUUAAUGGCACUGGUGUAAAUACAGAACCCAUAUUGUUUCUCAUACUCAGAAGGUCAAAAAGUGGAAAUAAUCGAAAAAAAUAGAAACUUUCUCAAAGGGGACAAGGCAGACACCUUGCUACUUAUUGAAAAGGGUAUUCACAAGAGCUAAUACUUACUGCGCAUCUACUAUGCUCUAAGUAUCUCUUCAGCUCCUUAAAUUUAACUUGUCUUCCCAACCACCCUGUGAGGUGGCUACUUAUUCUCAUUUUACGAUGAGGUAACGGGAGUCACAGACAAGGAACUUGCUUACGUCACAUAGCCUCCAGUAAUGGCUUUAAGUGAGAGGCCGAAGGAAAGCGGGAGAAUGCAAAGCCGGCUCACCGAGUGACUCGGCGUCCCCACGUGCCCCAGCCUCCCAGCUCCCAACAGAGCCUCUCCUGUGGUGGCCAGCAGGUAGCCCAGGACCCGCACUUCUGCAAAUCCGACUGCUGCGGGAUAACCUAGGUUUUUGCAAUGUUAAUAAUUUGACUUCUACUUCUUUAGCUUCACACGCUGCCCCAGGAUCCUCGCGACCUCAGCAGGCAGGCGCGCGCGUGCACAGGCGAUAGGACGGCCGUUCCCACCCGAGCCGACGGCCCACGCUGGUCCCCGAGCUGAGCU
Long non-coding RNA from Fukomys damarensis (Damara mole-rat), 5230 nucleotides. The record is from Ensembl. Lineage: Eukaryota; Metazoa; Chordata; Mammalia; Rodentia; Bathyergidae.